Molecule: ribosomal RNA, 497 nt
Filed under: uncultured bacterium
Lineage: Bacteria
Description: partial 16S ribosomal RNA
Rfam family: Bacterial small subunit ribosomal RNA
Source: RNAcentral
GAUGAACGCUGGCGGCGUGCCUAAUACAUGCAAGUCGAGCGAACAGACGAGGAGCUUGCUCCUCUGACGUUAGCGGCGGACGGGUGAGUAACACGUGUAUAAUCUACCUAUAAGACUGGUAUAACUUCGGGAAACCGGAGCUAAUACCGGAUAAGCUAUUGAACCGCAUGGGUGAAUAGUGAGAUACGGUGGUGCUGUCACUUAUAGAUGGAUCCCCGCCGCAUUAGGUAGUUGGUAAGGUAACAGCCUACCAAGGCAACUAUGCGUAGCCGAAGUGAGAGACUGGUAGGCCACCCGGGAGGUGGAACGGGGACAAUGCGACUACGGGACGGCGCAGUCGGCAACGUUACGCAACAGGCGAAAGUCUGGCGGAGCAGCGGCGCGUGAGAGAUGGAGGUCUCCCGAGCGUAAUACUGUGUUAUUAGGGAAGAACCAAUGUGUACGUAGCUAUGCACGGCUUGACGGUAACUAAUCAGAAAGCCCCGGCUAACUACGUG